Molecule: ribosomal RNA, 306 nt
Filed under: uncultured bacterium
Lineage: Bacteria
Description: partial 16S ribosomal RNA
Rfam family: Bacterial small subunit ribosomal RNA
Source: RNAcentral
GACAGCAGUAGCCGCGGUAAUACAGAGGGUGCGAGCGUUAAUCGGAUUUACUGGGCGUAAAGCGUGCGUAGGCGGCUAAUUGAGUCGGAUGUGAAAUCCCCCAGCUUAACUUGGGAAUUGCAUUCGAUACUGGUUAGCUAGAGUGUGGGAGAGGAUGGUAGAAUUCCAGGUGUAGCGGUGAAAUGCGUAGAGAUCUGGAGGAAUACCGAUGGCGAAGGCAGCCAUCUGGCCUAACACUGACGCUGAGGUACGAAAGCAUGGGGAGCAAACAGGAUUAGAUACCCCGGUAGUCCCUGUCUCUUAUAA